UCACCCACCACUCCUCUCACAUGACUGCUUUAAAUCCAAACCCACGUGGUCCCAUCCCGAAAAGUAAUGGCUGCCUUUGAGUUAAUCAAAUUGCUCAUGAAAAGAGCAGCUCACACAACCUCGAGGAAGGCCACGUAAUGUGAUUGAAAGCUUAAGAAACACUAAAACGAUGAUCCAAUAACCGGAGGCUGCAGCAUCUUCAAGAAAAUGUCAUUCUCGAGCUCCCUUCACAGGUAUCUACUGGGAGGAAGACACCAUUCACUACCCGAUCCCUCCUCACCAGGUUAAUGAUGCUCUACAGAGCUGGAGCUUCAUGAGGAGCUCCUAAUGUGACAGACUGUGCAGACUCUCCUCACAACAGUUUCUGACACACUCAAUGGAGUGGAAAGUCGAGCAGAAACACAGUGAUGCGUUUGAAAGACAGAUGGGAGAAGUGCAACCCGACAACCGUCCAGAAGACUGUUGAUGUCCGAUAAACGAAGGAACAAAAAGGAGAUAAUAGAAAUAAAAUCAAAUAAAACGUUAGGCCUGUUUGACAUUUUGUAUUGACCAAUGCCCACGAUUGGCUGGCCCUUAGUGUAUGUUGGGUUGCUCUUUUUGAUGUACAAUAUAGACUUGUACAUCCAAAGAGCAAAAGCCAUUUUUGCAACAGGUUGUUAUCUGGACGCCUUCACACGGUGGUUUUAUUUCAUGCUAACGUCAAAAUACUUUUAUGGAAAUAUCCCAUUGUUGCAUUAUUGUUUUGAAUCCUAAUUAUUUCCCCAUAUUUUACUGUAUGUGGUGAAGACGACCCCUCAUUUCUUAAUGAGUGUUGUCUAAUUGAAAUGGCGUCAUUUCUGUUAUAUAAUCCUAUUGUUGCUGAUGUCAGACAGGGAGGUUUGUACUUGAAGUUGUGGGUGAUAGAAUACCUUUUUAUUUUUCUAUUUAGCUUCAUGACACCCAAU
Eleginops maclovinus (Patagonian blennie) is the source of this 944-nucleotide long non-coding RNA. RefSeq lists it as uncharacterized. The record is from RefSeq and is a predicted model, not a curated record. The transcript has 5 exons. Lineage: Eukaryota; Metazoa; Chordata; Actinopteri; Perciformes; Eleginopidae.